GGUAUUUUUUGCUGUUGCAAGACAGAUUUUCACCUAAAUACUUGAUUUUCUGUCACAGAACCCUAUUUUAAACUGCCCUUUACCUUCUGAAGAACAACGUGGCUGUAAGGUUUGAGGGAGUUUUGUCAACAUUAUUCUUUUAAAAAGUGAUCAAUGUUAAUAUUUCUGUCUGUUUUCUUGCCCAGUUUACUUGGACUUGCAUUGUUCCCUCCCUCUUUUUUUCUGCUGAGACUGCAGUUGUUCAGGGAUGUUCAUGGUAAGCUUUACUUCUAAGCAACUUCUACAGUGGCCAUGGUCACCAAUGGAUUGACACCUACUCGAGCAUCACCUUGGGAGGAUUGUGUUGGAGCAACCUGGGCUCUUUGGUAAUACAGGACAUUGGCAGCUGUAGCAGAAAACCGGGUUCUCUUAACAAAUGACAGGAACAGGGGGAUAAUGCCAGUGUGAAAUCAGUAACCACAUAUAAACUUCUCAUGGAGAUCAGCUGGGACCUCAUGGCAGAAACCUCAUUUAAAACAACCGCUAAUGACUUCACCUUGGGCCAAGUCACAGCACAGCAGCCACCUCCUCCUCCUCCUCCAGCCCUGCUGGGAG
Molecule: long non-coding RNA, 594 nt
Organism: Pezoporus flaviventris
Lineage: Eukaryota; Metazoa; Chordata; Aves; Psittaciformes; Psittacidae
Exons: 3
Source: RefSeq, a predicted model, not a curated record